CCCUUAGACGUUCUGGGCCGCACGCGCGCUACACUGACCAGUGCAACAAGCAUCCGUCCUUGGCCGACAGGCCCGGGCAAUCUUUGAACGCUGGUCGUGAUGGGGAUAGACUUUUGCAAUUUUUGGUCUUCAACGAGGAAUUCCUAGUAAACGCAAGUCAUCAACUUGCAUUGAUUCCGUCCCUGCCCUUUGUACACACCGCCCGUCGCACCUACCGAUUGAAUGGUCCGGUGAAGCCUCCGGAUUGGCGCGCACCUCGGUGCCGCCGAGAAGUUGGCUAAACCUUACCAUUUAGAGGAAGGUGAAGUCGUAACA
RNAcentral lists this ribosomal RNA (315 nucleotides) under uncultured eukaryote. RNAcentral describes it as "partial 18S ribosomal RNA". It matches the Rfam family "Eukaryotic small subunit ribosomal RNA", at positions 1470 to 1796 of the family's 1831-position model. The record is from RNAcentral.